AACCUCCGCAAUGUGAGAAAUCGCGACGGGGGGAUCCCAAGUGCCAUUCUUAACGGGAUGGCUUUUCAUUAGUGUAAAGAGCUUUUGGAAUAAGGGCUGGGCAAGACCGGUGCCAGCCGCCGCGGUAACACCGGCAGCUCUAGUGGUAGCAGUUUUUAUUGGGCCUAAAGCGUCCGUAGCCGGUUUAAUAAGUCUCUGGUGAAAUCCUGUAGCUUAACUGUGGGAAUUGCUGGAGAUACUAUUAGACUUGAGACCGGGAGAGGUUAGAGGUACUCCCAGGGUAGAGGUGAAAUUCUGUAAUCCUGGGAGGACCGCCUGUUGCGAAGGCGUCUAACUGGAACGGUUCUGACGGUGAGGGACGAAAGUUAGGGGCGCGAACCGGAUUAGAUACCCGGGUAGUCCUAACUGUAAACGAUGCGGACUUGGUGUUGGGGCGGCUUUGAGCUGCUCCAGUGCCGAAGGGAAGCUGUUAAGUCCGCCGCCUGGGAAGUACGGUCGCAAGACUGAAACUUAAAGGAAUU
Molecule: ribosomal RNA, 521 nt
Filed under: uncultured bacterium
Lineage: Bacteria
Description: bacterial SSU rRNA
Rfam family: Archaeal small subunit ribosomal RNA
Source: RNAcentral